AAGCCAGGACGACUACGAGACCGGCACACCAACUGCGAGCAGUUUAAGUAGCCCGGUCCACAUCCACAAGCUUGCCUCUCAUUCUCAGUUCAGUGCAGCGCCUCACCCUCCACCACCUGAGAGGCCUGCACCGGGGAUGAUGCGGCCACCUGUUCCCACCACACAAGGGAUACCUCGGCCACCUGUUCCCACCACACAAAUAACCAACCCGAUGUUCCAGUCAGCUACAUCUUAUGUUCGAGAGAACCGAAGAGCUUCUGUUGUCUGGGAUCAAGAGGCUGGUCGGUACGUGUCGGUUCCUGCCCAAACAAGAAUUGGACCUGGCGUCGAGC
This 332-nucleotide long non-coding RNA is filed under the name Setaria italica (foxtail millet). RNAcentral describes it as "long non-coding RNA (SITA_LNC001112)". The record is from RNAcentral. Lineage: Eukaryota; Viridiplantae; Streptophyta; Magnoliopsida; Poales; Poaceae.